RNAcentral lists this ribosomal RNA (253 nucleotides) under uncultured bacterium. Its description in RNAcentral is "partial 16S ribosomal RNA". It matches the Rfam family "Bacterial small subunit ribosomal RNA", at positions 524 to 776 of the family's 1533-position model. The record is from RNAcentral.
UACGUAGGUGGCAAGCGUUGUACGGAAUUAUUGGGCGUAAAGCGCGCGAAGGCGGUUUCUUAAGUCUGAUGUGAAAGCCCCCGGCUCAACCGGGGAGGGUCAUUGGAAACUGGGGAACUUGAGUGCAGAAGAGGAGAGUGGAAUUCCACGUGUAGCGGUGAAAUGCGUAGAGAUGUGGAGGAACACCAGUGGCGAAGGCGACUCUCUGGUCUGUAACUGACGCUGAGGCGCGAAAGCGUGGGGUGCGAACAGG